Molecule: unclassified non-coding RNA, 443 nt
Filed under: uncultured Basidiobolales
Lineage: Eukaryota; Fungi; Basidiobolomycota; Basidiobolomycetes
Description: sequence contains ITS1, 5.8S rRNA gene, ITS2
Rfam family: 5.8S ribosomal RNA (bases 131-284)
Source: RNAcentral
UCAAUGAUAUCUAAUCAUAACACUGUGAACUUAAAUGAACUGAAUUUGGGGAUGAUUCUUUUAAAGAUCUCCCCAAAAUUUUAAACACUAUAAUUUUUAAGCAGAGUUAAUUAUGAAAAUAAUUUAAAACAACUUUUAGCAACGGAUCUCUAGGUUCUCGCAACGAUGAAGAACGCAGCGAAUUGCGAAAAGUAAUGUGAAUUGCAUAAUUCCGUGAAUCAUCAAAUCUUUGAACGCAUAUUGCGCUAGCUGGAACUCCGGCUAGCAUGCCUGUUUGAGUCUCAGUUUAAAUCUCACUCUUAAAAAAAAGGUGGAUAUGGGUAAUGGGGAAUUCUUUCCCUUACCUUAAAAUUAUGAGUGCUAAACCAAGUACAAAAAUAGAGCCAGUCCGAAAGGAAUGUCUAUUUUGUAACUAGUUCUAACCCUCUAACUAAAAUUGAAUU